This 247-nucleotide ribosomal RNA is filed under the name uncultured archaeon. RNAcentral describes it as "partial 16S ribosomal RNA". It matches the Rfam family "Archaeal small subunit ribosomal RNA", at positions 691 to 937 of the family's 1478-position model. The record is from RNAcentral.
CCGACGGUGAGGGGCGAAAGCUGGGGGAGCAAACCGGAUUAGAUACCCGGGUAGUCCCAGUCGUAAACGAUGUGCGUUAGGUGUAUCGGUGACCACGAGUCACCGAGGUGCCGAAGAGAAAUCGUGAAACGUACCGCCUGGGAAGUACGGUCGCAAGGCUGAAACUUAAAGGAAUUGGCGGGGGAGCACCACAACAGGUGGAGCCUGCGGUUUAAUCGGACUCAACGCCGGGAAACUCACCAGAUAA